This 303-nucleotide ribosomal RNA is filed under the name Triticum aestivum (bread wheat). RNAcentral describes it as "partial small subunit ribosomal RNA". Lineage: Eukaryota; Viridiplantae; Streptophyta; Magnoliopsida; Poales; Poaceae. The record is from RNAcentral.
AUGGUUGACGGAGUUGAGCGGAUGCUUCGGGGAGUCAGGCAUGUGCCAGGGCUAAGGAGGAAUCUAGUUUCGCCUGGUGUUCUUCAUGAUGGUGGUAUGGAAUUCCGUUGUGAUCGAGAUAUGAAGACCAUCAAAAUCAUGGAAGAUGGGGUGACCGUGAUGAUAGGAGAGAGGACGGCUUUGCAUCUUUACAAGUUGCAAGGGAGCACUAUUGCAGGUGGAGCCAUGGGGAGUGGAGCUGCAAGAGUAGUAGUGGAGUCUCAUGGUGGCGGCGGGUCUGGCCCAUCAGGUAGCUCUCAGUAA